UAGGGAAUCUUCCGCAAUGGGCGAAAGCCUGACGGAGCAACGCCGCGUGAGUGAUGAAGGUCUUCGGAUCGUAAAACUCUGUUAUUAGGGAAGAACAAAUGUGUAAGUAACUAUGCACGUCUUGACGGUACCUAAUCAGAAAGCCACGGCUAACUACGUGCCAGCAGCCGCGGUAAUACGUAGGUGGCAAGCGUUAUCCGGAAUUAUUGGGCGUAAAGCGCGCGUAGGCGGUUUUUUAAGUCUGAUGUGAAAGCCCACGGCUCAACCGUGGAGGGUCAUUGGAAACUGGAAAACUUGAGUGCAGAAGAGGAAAGUGGAAUUCCAUGUGUAGCGGUGAAAUGCGUAGAUAUUAGGAAGAACACCAGUGGCGAAGGCGACUUUCUGGACGAACACUGACGCUGAGGCGCGAAAGCCAGGGGAGCGAACGGG
RNAcentral lists this ribosomal RNA (429 nucleotides) under Bacteroidota bacterium. RNAcentral's name for it is "Bacteroidetes bacterium partial 16S ribosomal RNA". It matches the Rfam family "Bacterial small subunit ribosomal RNA", at positions 355 to 776 of the family's 1533-position model. The record is from RNAcentral. Lineage: Bacteria; Pseudomonadati; Bacteroidota.